CAGGAGUGAAAGGCUACGGCUCAACCGUAGUAAGCUCUUGAAACUGGGAGACUUGAGUGCAGGAGAGGGGAGUGGAAUUCCUAGUGUAGCGGUGAAAUGCGUAGAUAUUAGGAGGAACACCAGUUGCGAAGGCGGCUCUCUGGACUGUAACUGACGCUGAGGCACGAAAGCGUGGGGAGCAAACAGGAUUAGAUACCCUGGUAGUCCACGCUGUAAACGAUGAGUACUAGGUGUCGGGGGUUACCCCCUUCGGUGCCGCAGCUAACGCAUUAAGUACUCCGCCUGGGAAGUACGCUCGCAAGAGUGAAACUCAAAGGAAU
This 320-nucleotide ribosomal RNA is filed under the name Clostridioides difficile. RNAcentral's name for it is "bacterial SSU rRNA". It matches the Rfam family "Bacterial small subunit ribosomal RNA", at positions 589 to 910 of the family's 1533-position model. Lineage: Bacteria; Bacillati; Bacillota; Clostridia; Peptostreptococcales; Peptostreptococcaceae. The record is from RNAcentral.